AUUGAACGCUGGCGGCAGGCCUAACACAUGCAAGUCGAGCGAGCGGCGGACGGGUGAGUAAUGUAUGGGGACUGCCCGAUAGCGGGGGAUAACUACUGGAAACGGUAGCUAAUACCGCAUACUAUCGGAUAACCCAUAUGGGAUUAGCUAGUAGGUGAGGUAAUGGCUCACCUAGGCGACGAUCCCUAGCUGGUCUGAGAGGAUGAUCAGGCACACUGGGACGGAGACACGGCCCAGACAACAACGGAGGCAGGAGUGGGGAAUAUUGCAGAAGGGGAGCAAGCCUGAUGCAGCCAUGCCGCGUGUAUGAAGAAGGCCGUAGGGUUGGAAAGUACUUUCAGUCGGGAGGCGUUACCGACAGAAGAAGCACCGGCUAACUCCGUGCCAGCAGCCGCGGUAAUUC
Molecule: ribosomal RNA, 403 nt
Filed under: uncultured bacterium
Lineage: Bacteria
Description: partial 16S ribosomal RNA
Rfam family: Bacterial small subunit ribosomal RNA
Source: RNAcentral